Molecule: ribosomal RNA, 451 nt
Filed under: uncultured bacterium
Lineage: Bacteria
Description: partial 16S ribosomal RNA
Rfam family: Bacterial small subunit ribosomal RNA
Source: RNAcentral
UGGGGAAUAUUGCACAAUGGGCGCAAGCCUGAUGCAGCCAUGCCGCGUGUGUGAAGAAGGCCUUCGGGUUGUAAAGCACUUUCAGCGAGGAGGAAGGUGGUGAGCUUAAUACGCUCAUCAAUUGACGUUACUCGCAGAAGAAGCACCGGCUAACUCCGUGCCAGCAGCCGCGGUAAUACGGAGGGUGCAAGCGUUAAUCGGAAUUACUGGGCGUAAAGCGCACGCAGGCGGUUUGUUAAGUCAGAUGUGAAAUCCCCGGGCUCAACCUGGGAACUGCAUUUGAAACUGGCAAGCUAGAGUCUCGUAGAGGGGGGUAGAAUUCCAGGUGUAGCGGUGAAAUGCGUAGAGAUCUGGAGGAAUACCGGUGGCGAAGGCGGCCCCCUGGACGAAGACUGACGCUCAGGUGCGAAAGCGUGGGGCAGCAAACAGGAUUAGAUACCCUGGUAGUCCA